ACAAAGCCUAUAAGUUGUUGAUUAAUAAUACCUUUCCUAAGAAAAAUUCAAAUCCAAUCACAAUAAUAAUGCAUUCAUUACAUGUUGUCAUAAUUUCAAUGUGAUGAUUAGUUGUUGAUUAAUAAUACCAUACCCGAAAACCUCACAUUAUGGAGGACCGGAGCCAAAAGUUGCUAUCAUUGGAGCUGGGCUUGCAUGGCAUCUGUAACAUUAUGGAGGACCGAAGCCAAAAGGUGCCAAAGGUAAGCACCAAAAGGACUGUUUCCUCCUGAUCCGAAACAUUAAGGUUAUUCCAAAUUCAGUAUCAUUAGAGUGGUGAUGAUAUCUAAUCAAAUCCAAACAGCAAAUAACUACAUCAGUUACCCGUGUGAUAUCUACUAUAUUCUUCCUUUGACCCUUUAAUUAUAAAUUAAUUUAGUACUUCAUCACUUUAUUACUGUUAGUAAAUUCCCAUGUGAAAUUAGAUUUUUGUUAAGCCAUAAGUCAGAAUAUAGGAGUCAUCAAGUUAAAAUAGUAAAAUUGAUACUCUGUUAGCUACCAUUUGAGCUUCCGGUUUGUUAAACAUUACAAAUUAGAUUUUUGUUUAGACAUUCAACAAUAUAUGAAAAGCAAUAAUCAGAUGAAAAUACUUCAACAUGGGAAGAUUGUGGAGUUCCAUGUCAUUUGAAUAUCUAUGUUCUAGAGAUGAUCUAUGGUUAACUAUCAUACAAAGAGCUCACGAGAUAUGUUUAUUUUUUUUAGGAAACUAUUUACUACUAUUUAUUUAUUUAUUUAUUUAAAUUGUUGGUAUUAUAAUGGACUUAUAGUCGUGGACAACUGCACGUAUAAUGUAUUCAUCUCAUGGUGAUACUAUUUAUUUAGAUUUGCUUGAAUAUAAGCUCCUUUAACUUGAUCAAUUAGCUGGCAGUAACUUAUAUAGGAGCUGCAAUGGAUUUGGAAAUUCCUCGACAUCGAACAUGGAACCAAAGAGGAUGUUGAAGGUGAUAAGCAGAAAAUAAUAAGAGAACCAUUGUUAGGGGAAAACAACAACCAACUUAUCCAUGGAACCAAAGAUCCAUCAAGAUAAUCAUUGGAUGUAGUAAAAGACAGUCAUCUCUGAAGCUAUUCAGUUGGAUUGUUUGACUGACUUCUUGUAACUAGCAUUUAUAUGAGAAGAUGUUUUAAAAUUGGAAAUAGCAUUAUUAUCUUACACAAUCAUGAGUUUUGCAGGUUCAGUUAUCCCUGCUUCUAAGAGUCGAUUCAUUGAGCUAAUUGCAGUUUACCGUGAAAUUUGUGUACAGGUUCCGCCUAGGCAGUGGAAGGGUGUUUUAAUCGAUCUUGCAGGUAUAAUUUGGAGAUCUUGUGGAGCAAUUUCAAUUGGGAAGUAAAAGCGUAAGGAUGAAAUUUCAGAUUGAGAUCAAAUUUCUUUAGGAGUUAUUGACGCUGUCUCAAAUUUCUCUCUUCGGCCCUUUUAUCAGAAUCUUCUUUGGAGGAGUUCCACCAUACCCUUUGUACAACCGUCUUGCUUCAGCUCUAUUGAGGUAUAUGGAUUCCCAAGCAUUUUGUAGUACAAGCUGCAAUUUAGAAAUAUUGAACAAUGAAUUUGAGAAUUCUUCAAUGCAGCAAAAACACAAUCAAUGGCAGAAUUUAAUUCUGGACAAGGGGUCUGAAAUAGUCAAUGUAUUACUAGUGUUAUCUGAACUUUUAGAUUUCUGAUUAGGUUGGUUCCAAUGUAAAUAUAUAUA
This is a long non-coding RNA of Vicia villosa (hairy vetch), 1724 nucleotides long. RefSeq lists it as uncharacterized. The record is from RefSeq and is a predicted model, not a curated record. The transcript has 3 exons. NCBI's taxonomy places the organism in Eukaryota, Viridiplantae, Streptophyta, Magnoliopsida, Fabales, Fabaceae.